AAAACUUUCAACAACGGAUCUCUUGGCUCUGGCAUCGAUGAAGAACGCAGCGAAAUGCGAUACGUAAUGUGAAUUGCAGAAUUCAGCGAACCAUCGAAUCUUUGAACGCACAUUGCGCCCGCCAGUAUUCUGGCGGGCAUGCCUGUCCGAGCGUCAUUUCCCCCCU
Molecule: ribosomal RNA, 166 nt
Filed under: Sporothrix stenoceras
Lineage: Eukaryota; Fungi; Ascomycota; Sordariomycetes; Ophiostomatales; Ophiostomataceae
Also listed under: 1 other name
Description: 5.8S ribosomal RNA
Rfam family: 5.8S ribosomal RNA
About the family: 5.8S ribosomal RNA (5.8S rRNA) is a component of the large subunit of the eukaryotic ribosome. It is transcribed by RNA polymerase I as part of the 45S precursor that also contains 18S and 28S rRNA.
Source: RNAcentral